This 435-nucleotide long non-coding RNA is filed under the name Brassica napus (rape). RNAcentral describes it as "long non-coding RNA (BNAP_LNC009783)". Lineage: Eukaryota; Viridiplantae; Streptophyta; Magnoliopsida; Brassicales; Brassicaceae. The record is from RNAcentral.
AGCUAAAAAAAAGAAUUUUUAAAAAAAUAUUUUUAACGUCAUCAGCAAAACACUAAAUCCUAAACCCUAAAUCCUAAACUCUUAGGUAAACCUUAAUUUCUUGGAUAAAUUUUAAACUCUAAAUCAAAAACAAUAACACUCAAGGGUUUAGGGUUUAGGGUUUAAGUUUUAGGAUUUAGAGUUUAGGGGUUAGUGUUUUAGUGUUUACUGUUUUUGAUUUAAAUUUUAGGAUUUAUCCAAAGGUUUAGGGUUUAUCCAAGGGUUUAGGAUUUAUGGUUUAGUAUUUUGCUGAUGACAUUAAUUUUUUUGUUAAAAUAUUUUUUAACUAUUAUUAUUAUUUUUAUUUUUUAUUUUAAAAUUAUAAUUUAAAUUAAUAAUAUUUUGUUUCUUUUUUUAAAAGAUAUCAAAUAUGAAAUAACGAAAUCUUAGUGGUUG